Lasiosphaeria miniovina is the source of this 89-nucleotide non-coding RNA. The record is from the annotation of a RefSeq genome assembly. Lineage: Eukaryota; Fungi; Ascomycota; Sordariomycetes; Sordariales; Lasiosphaeriaceae.
GGGCUGUUGGUCUAGAGGUAUGAUUCUCGCUUUGGGAUUCCCACGAGCUCUUCUGCGAGAGGUCCCGGGUUCAAUCCCCGGACAGCCCC